UUCUUAUGAUAGUUCAUCACGCAAACUUGAUAGCUCUUGUUGGAUACUGUGAUGAGGACACAAACAUGGGCUGAUCUAUGAGUUCAUGGCUAAUGGAAACUUAGAGGCACAUCUCUUAGAAACCCAAGCAGCUGGUAUCUUGAGUUGGGAAGGGAGACUUCGAAUAGCAACAGAUGCAGCAAAAGGAUUGGAGUACUCCAUAGCGGCUGU
This is a long non-coding RNA of Pistacia vera, 210 nucleotides long. RefSeq lists it as uncharacterized. The transcript has 3 exons. NCBI's taxonomy places the organism in Eukaryota, Viridiplantae, Streptophyta, Magnoliopsida, Sapindales, Anacardiaceae. The record is from RefSeq and is a predicted model, not a curated record.